UCAUAUGCUUGUCUAAAAGAUUAAGCCAUGCAAGUGCGAGUGAUUCGGUGCAUCCAUCAGUAAAAUGAGGGAAGGCGCUCAGGAUGACUGCGAAAGGCUCAUUAAAACAGUUAUUGGAUCUGGAUGGUCAGAAGAAGACAAGAAGGAUAAGGGUGUGAAAUUGUUAUCCGCACGAGGGAGGGGGAUCUCGAUCAAAGAGGAUUUUAAUCGAUUCUCGCAUGAAGAAGGGAUUUCUAGAAUUUCAUAGAGAUAUGAGAGGGAGCAUGUGAAUAUUUGACCUAUCAACUGGGGAUGGUAGUAUAGGGAACUACGAUGGUGGUGACGGGUGACGGAGGAUCAGGGUUUGAAACCGGAGAGGGGGCCUGAGAGAUGGCCACCACUUCUAAGGAAGGCAGCAGGCGCGAAAAUUACCCAAUGUUGGAACAGUGAGGUAGUGACAAGGAAUAACUGUGAAGCAGCUGUUUUAGUUGUUUGAUGGUAAUGGAAGGAGGAUAGAGAGGUUCUUGAGUAACGAUCAGAGGGAAAGUCUGGUGCCAGCAGCCGCGGUAAUUCCAGCUCUGAAAGCGUAUACUAGAGUUGUUGCGGUUAAAAAGCUCGUAGUUGGGAGAAGGAGGCAUUGAGAAAAAUAGAGUGUUUAAGGGUGAAGUGGGAGAGCACAGGACGUCCUAUGAUGAAGAACUGAAGAGAUUUGGUUUUUUGUUGAGGAGAGAAUAGAAACAAUAGAGGAUAUUAGUAUUUUAUAGUUAGAGGUGAAAUUCUAUGAUUUAUGAAAGACUAACAGGGGCGAAAGCAUUUAUCUCUUGUAUGUUUAUUGAUAAAGAACGAAAGUUAGGGAUCGAAGAUGAUUAGACACCGUCGUAGUCCUAGACUAUAAACAAUACUAACUAUGGAUUUGGGGGGCCGAUUCUCUCUUUCAAUGAGGGAAAAAGGGCGCGUGAGGACAUUGCGAGAAAUCAUUGAGUAUUUGAGUUCCGGGGGGAGUAUGGUUGCAAGACUGAAACUUAAAGGAAUUGACGGAGGGGCACCACAAGGCGUGGAGCUUGCGGCUUAAUUUGACUCAACACGGAGAAACUUACCAGACCAAGACAUCAUUGAGGAUUGACAGACGAGGAGGUUUUUCGAGAUAGGAUGGGAGGUGGUGCAUGGCCGUUCUUAGUUGGUGGAGUGAUUUGUCAGGUUAAUUCCGAUAACGAACGAGAUUUUAGUGGAAGAGACGAAGGAUUCAUUUUAACGGAUGGAUUCUUUGGUUAUUUCAGAUGGAUAGGAAAAUAAACUAUAGGAAGAUUAAAGUGAUAACAGGUCUGUGAUGCCCUUAGAUGGUUUGGGCUGCACGCGUGCUACAAUGAUAGAGACAGAGAUCCACCGAGAGAGAGAACAUCUUUCUUGGAUUGACGCAUCGAAGGAUGGGUUGAAAGGAUGGAGAAUCUAUCAUGUUAGGGGAUUAACGAUUGGAAUUAUUCGUUAUGAACACGGAAUGCCUAGUAAGUAUAAGUCAACAGGUUAUAUUGAUUAGGUCCCUGCCUCUUGUACGCACCGCCCGUCGCUGCUACCGAUUGAAUAGUAAAUGUGAAAUGGGAGGACUGGCCACUCCUUCAACAAAGGAGAGGAAAGGAAAACUAUUGAAUGUUUAUAUUUAGAGGAAGCAAAAGUCGUAACAAGGUUUCC
Molecule: ribosomal RNA, 1665 nt
Filed under: Ripella decalvata
Lineage: Eukaryota; Discosea; Flabellinia; Vannellidae
Description: bacterial SSU rRNA
Rfam family: Eukaryotic small subunit ribosomal RNA
Source: RNAcentral